This is a long non-coding RNA of Carassius auratus (goldfish), 1590 nucleotides long. RefSeq lists it as uncharacterized. The record is from RefSeq and is a predicted model, not a curated record. The transcript has 2 exons. Lineage: Eukaryota; Metazoa; Chordata; Actinopteri; Cypriniformes; Cyprinidae.
AGACUGUCGCAUUUGUCUGCCACAUACAUCAAGGGUGUCUUAAUUCUAAAAUGGACCAUUAUUCAUUGUGAGGUGUAAAUUGUUGUAAUUUCUUUACUUUUGAAUUUCUUUACUUGUGGCCUACAAAAUGCGACCUCCUUGAGGAAGCAGCCCUCGAAACAGUCAGCGGAUUUAUUUUACAUUUAGAAUUACUGAAUUAGUUUAUUAGAUUAAAUAAACUAUUAAUUAAUAUUGAGUGCAAGAUGAAGAAUAUGUGAAGCUGCGGGUAGAUUCGAUGUGCGCCUGUAGUAAGGUUGCCAACUGCCCUAAUUAUACAGAUAUACGUUUGGGGUAAGAUCUUCCACUGCAUAUUACAUGAGACUCGGUUUUAUUCCCCCUUGUCACCCCCCGCAGUGGCAUCGUCUCAGAUACUACGAGUAUGUGUGAACUGAGGGUCAUAAGCUGUUGUUACGUUACCUGUAAUGCAUGACAUGUUAAUUGAAAUUAACUGUCGAAAAGAACCAGUUUUCGAAAAAAGAACCUGACUUCCCAUCACUAGUGAAAAGUUGGCUUUCCUCAUUAUUAUGUUCCCUUGUAUAUAACUGGAACGGUUACUCCAUGCACCUUUAAACUACAGUCUGUUCAGUUAAAUAUUUGGCUGCAGUUUGUGUUUACUUACUGUUUGUUCAGGGCCUUUCUGCACAAGGUGAAAGUGCUGCUCGGGCAUUAGUGCAGAUCAUCGCCAGGGAUCUGACACCAGGGCCAAGCCGCUCCACUAAUUACUAUUAUAUAUAAUGCUCAUUACUGUAGUAACAUCCAAAAUAAAACUAAAACGUUAUUUGUAAUUUAACUAGUGUUUCCCAGUUUUCAACCUCUCUGGUGUUUUCUGAACCCAUCCGUCCGUCUGUGUUAUUAAUUAUUUUUUUUAAGGUAAUUAAAUGACCACUUGGUCAUGUAGCAUGUUACAUUUUAAAAUAUUGUUGGAAUAUUGGCUAUCUGCUAAAAAUAAAAAAAUCUAAAGUACUGUGCUGUAUUUACCAAUUAGACUAAUAUUUCAUUAUGAACAAGGUUUAUUGCAUUGAUCAAAAUGUUCUGUGUUUGUUAUUAUGCAUUUUAGGACAGUGAGACAGCAAAUGACAGACUAAUCCACUUUCUGAAGCUUGGAUUACCCCAGGAAAACAUCAGUAACAUUUUAGGUGUCACUCAUACAACUAUCGUUCGUUGGAUGAGAGAAUGUGUUUGGCCAGAGACAGAAUCCAAUAAUUAACCCUGAGAUGGAAUAUUCAGACUCAAUGGCAGUUGAACAAGAUGGUGGAGAUGCUCACCAUGUUCACUUUGCAGUCAACGUGCCUGUAAUUCACAGGCCACAACUCACAAAUGAGCAAAUUGACCCACUGCAAGUGUCUGAUUCAUUUGGAGUAGAUGUAUACCUCAAGACUCUCACAUAUGUACAGACUUUGAUUGAAUAAAGGGAUAUUUGAAGGUUUAUUUCUGCUGCUCUAAUUUUGACAGCAAGGUUGUAAAUGUGUAUAUAUAGUUGUAUCUUAAGUAAAACUUGUGGAAACAACCUUUUAAGACAUGUAAAAUAAUUAAAUUUAUUUUAAAAUGUUA